AGUGAACGCUGGCGGUAGGCCUAACACAUGCGAGUCGAACGGCAGCACAGUAAGAGCUUGCUCUUACGGGUGGCGAGUGGCGGACGGGUGAGGAAUACAUCGGAAUCUACUUUUUCGUGGGGGAUAACGUAGGGAAACUUACGCUAAUACCGCAUACGACCUACGGGUGAAAGCAGGGGAUCUUCGGACCUUGCGCGAUUGAAUGAGCCGAUGUCGGAUUAGCUAGUUGGCGGGGUAAAGGCCCACCAAGGCGACGAUCCGUAGCUGGUCUGAGAGGAUGACCACCCAAGUGGAAAUUGAGACACGGCCCAGCCCCCAAGGGGGGGCCAGGGGGGGAAAUUUUGAAAAGGGGGGCAAACCGUGCCCCACCCAACCGGGGGGGGGAAAAAAGCCUUUGGGGUGUAAAACCCUUUUUGUGGGAAAAAAAAAGAGGCGGGUUAAACCCCCCUUUUUCGACGGGACCCAAAGAAAAAACCACCGCCAACCUGGGG
Molecule: ribosomal RNA, 491 nt
Filed under: uncultured bacterium
Lineage: Bacteria
Description: partial 16S ribosomal RNA
Rfam family: Bacterial small subunit ribosomal RNA
Source: RNAcentral